CCUACGGGGGGCUGCAGUAGGGAAUCUUUCACAAUGGGCGAAAGCCUGAUGGAGCAACGCCGCGUGCGGGAUGAAGGCCUUCUGGUUGUAAACUGCUUUUAUAAGCGAGAAAUAUGAUGGUAACUUAUGAAUAAGGAUCGGCUAUCUACGUUCCAGCAGCCGCGGUCAUACGUAGGAUCCGAGCAUUAUCCGGAGUGACUGGGUGUAAAGAGUUGCGUAGGUGGCAUAAUAAGUAGCUAGUGAAAUCUGGUGGCUCAACCAUUCAGACUAUUAGCUAAACUGUUAAGCUCGAGACCGUUAGGGGUAACUGGAAUUUCUAGUGUAGGAGUGAAAUCCGUAGAUAUUAGAAGGAACACCAAUAGCGUAGGCAGGUUACUGGGACGGUUCUGACACUAAGGCACGAAAGCGUAGGGAGCAAACGGGAUUAGAUACCCGAGUAGUC
Molecule: ribosomal RNA, 442 nt
Filed under: uncultured bacterium
Lineage: Bacteria
Description: partial 16S ribosomal RNA
Rfam family: Bacterial small subunit ribosomal RNA
Source: RNAcentral